Molecule: ribosomal RNA, 948 nt
Filed under: uncultured Clostridium sp.
Lineage: Bacteria; Bacillati; Bacillota; Clostridia; Eubacteriales; Clostridiaceae
Description: bacterial SSU rRNA
Rfam family: Bacterial small subunit ribosomal RNA
Source: RNAcentral
UAUUNNAUNUNGNUCGGAGACGCUGGCGGCGUGCCUACCAUGCAAGUCGAGCGAUUUACUUCGGUAAAGAGCGGCGGACGGGUGAGUAACGCGUGGGUAACCUGCCUCAUACACAUGGAUAACAUACCGAAAGGUAUGCUAAUACAGGAUAAUAUAAGAGAUUUACAUGGAUUUCUUAUCAAAGCUCCGGCGGUAUGAGAUGGACCCGCGUCUCAUUAGCUAGUUGGUAAGGUAAUGGCUUACAAGGCGACGAUCAGUAGCCGACUGAGAGGGUGAUCGGCCACAUUGGAACUGAGACACGGUCCCACUCCUACGGGAGGCAGCGUGGGGAAAAUCGCCCCAUCGCCCAAAGCUGAUGCACCCACGCCGCGUGGUGAUGAAGGCCCUCCGGUCCUAAAACUCCGUCCUCCAGGAAGAAAUGACCGUUCUUGAGGAGGAAGCCCCGGCUAACUACCCGCCAGCGCCCCGGUAAUACCUAGGGGGCUAGCGUUAUUCGGAUUUACCGCGCGUCAAGGGUGCGUAGUGGGUUUUUUAGUCAGGAGUGAAAGGCUACUGGUCCACCGUCCUAAGCCCUUGAAACUGGAAAACUUGAAUGCAGGAGAAGAAAGCGGAAUUUCCUACUGCUAGCGGCAAAUGCGUAAUAUUAGGAGGAAAUACCCCUUGCCAAAGGCGGCUUCUCUUGGACUGCAACUGAACACUGAGGGACCAAAGCGUGGGGGAGGCAAACACGAUUAUUAUACCCCUGGCAGUCCACGCCCGCAAACCAAGGAGUACUACCCGUCGGGGGGUCACCCCCCCCUCGGCGGGGGCACCUUAACGCAUUAAACUACUCUCCCUGGGAAGUACCGCUCCGCCACAAAUGAAACUUUCANCUAAUUUAACGGGGGACCGCUCACACGUGGCGCGAAUCUUGUGGGUUUUAUUCCGAAGCCAACCCCGACAGAACCU